UGAGAAACCUGUCCCGGUCUCUGGAAUAACAGUCGGAAACGACUGCUAAUACCGGAUGCCGUCGGAGCGUCGCAUGGCGCGCUGACGAAAGGGCUACCGGAUCGGGAGGGUCUCGCGGCCUAUCAGCUUGUUGGUGAGGUAACGGCUCACCAAGGCAUCGACGGGUAGCUGGUCUGAGAGGAUGAUCACGCCACACGUGGGACUGAGACGACCGGCCCAGACCUCGUAACGGGGA
RNAcentral lists this ribosomal RNA (235 nucleotides) under uncultured bacterium. RNAcentral describes it as "partial 16S ribosomal RNA". It matches the Rfam family "Bacterial small subunit ribosomal RNA", at positions 118 to 348 of the family's 1533-position model. The record is from RNAcentral.